RNAcentral lists this ribosomal RNA (2262 nucleotides) under Nitrospinota bacterium. RNAcentral describes it as "partial 23S ribosomal RNA". It matches the Rfam family "Bacterial large subunit ribosomal RNA", at positions 693 to 2925 of the family's 2925-position model. The record is from RNAcentral. Lineage: Bacteria; Pseudomonadati; Nitrospinota.
CGAACAUAGUCGCGUGGAGUAAACCCGAAGCCGGGUGAUCUAUCCAUGUGCAGGGUGAAGCGAAGGUAACACUUCGUGGAGGCCCGAACGAGUUGACGUUGAAAAGUCAUUCGAUGAUGUGUGGAUAGGGGUGAAAGGCCAACCAAACCCGGCGAUAGCUGGUUCUCCUCGAAAUAUAUUUAGGUAUAGCCUCGUACGGUAGCGUGUGGGGGUAGGACACUGGAUGGGCUAGGGCCCUUGACCGGGUACCAAACCCUACCAAUUUACGAAUACUACACGUGGAACUACGGGAGUCAGACUGCGGGAGAUAAGUUCCGUAGUCGAGAGGGAAACAGCCCAGAUCAUCAGCUAAGGUCCCAAAGUACAGGUUAAGUGGCAAAGGUUGUGAAUUUGCAUAAACAGCCAGGAGGUUGGCUUAGAAGCAGCCAUUCCUUUAAAGAAAGCGUAAUAGCUCACUGGUCGAGUGGAUUUGCGUCGAAAAUUUAACGGGGCUAAAACCUGUCACCGAAGCUAUGGAUUCAUCAUUUAUUUGAUGAGUGGUAGAGGAGCGUUCUAUGCGGGAUGAAGGUCGAGCGUAAGCACGGCUGGACUGCAUGGAAGUGAGUAUGGCGGCAUGAGUAACGAUAAAGCGGGUGAGAAACCCGCUCGCCGUAAGCCCAAGGUUUCCUGGGGAAGGGUAAUCCUCCCAGGGUUAGUCGGCCCCUAAGGCGAGGCCGAAAGGCGUAGUCGAUGGGAAGCUGGUUAAUAUUCCAGCACUGUCUGUAAUUCGUUUGUACGAUGGGGUGACGCGGAAAGGUAAGCCAUCCAGGCGCUGGUUGUCCUGGUUCUUGGCCGUAGGACGCGACUUUGGCAAAUCCGGGUCGCUGGGUUAGAUUCCAUGUCUGAGGGUUGAGUGGCGCGAAUUCUACGGAUGACGCGUAACUGGCUGAUCCUAUACCGCCAGGAAAAACCUCUAAGGAGAGUUGCAGAUAACCGUACCCGAAACCAACACAGGUGGGCGAGGAGAGUAUCCUAAGGCGCUUGAGAGAACCCAGAUUAAGGAACUCAGCAAAUUUGCUCCGUAACUUCGGGAUAAGGAGUGCCCUUGAUGGUGAAGCGGCUUGCCCGUGGAGCUGUUGGGGGUUGCAGUGAAAAGGGGGCUGCGACUGUUUACUAAAAACACAGGUCUCUGCUAAGUCGUAAGACGAUGUAUAGGGACUGACGCCUGCCCGGUGCCGGAAGGUUAAAAGGCGUUGUCAGGCUUCGGCCAAAGCAACAAAUUGAAGCCCCGGUAAACGGCGGCCGUAACUAUAACGGUCCUAAGGUAGCGAAAUUCCUUGUCGGGUAAGUUCCGACCUGCACGAAUGGCGUAACGCUGGCCCUACUGUCUCGAUCUGGGACUCAGUGAAAUUGAUCUUCCGGUGAAAACGCCGGAUACCCGCGGAAGGACGGAAAGACCCCGUGCACCUUUACUAUAACCUGACAUUGGAUUCGGGUUUAUGAUGUGUAGGAUAGGUGGGAGGCUUUGAAGCGGGCUCGCUAGAGUUCGUGGAGCCAUCCUUGAAAUACCACCCUUCGUACGCUUGGUUUCUAACCUAGGUCCAUGAAUCUGGAUCAGGGACAUUGUCAGGCGGGUAGUUUGACUGGGGCGGUCGCCUCCUAAACUGUAACGGAGGCGCGCGAAGGUUCUCUCAGACUGAUUGGAAACCAGUCGUUGAGUGUAAAGGCAAAAGAGAGCUUGACUGCGAGACUUACAAGUCGAGCAGGUGGGAAACCAGGUCUUAGUGAUCCGGUGGUUCUGUAUGGAAGGGCCAUCGCUCAUCGGAUAAAAGGUACGCCGGGGAUAACAGGCUGAUCGCGCCCAAGAGUCCAUAUCGACGGCGCGGUUUGGCACCUCGAUGUCGACUCAUCGCAUCCUGGGGCUGUAGCAGGUCCCAAGGGUUGGUCUGUUCGCCCAUUAAAGCGGUACGUGAGUUGGGUUUAAAACGUCGUGAGACAGUUUGGUCCCUAUCCUCCGUGGGCAUUGGAUAUUUGAGGAGAUCUGUUCCUAGUACGAGAGGACCGGAAUGGACGAACCUCUAGUGUUCCGGUUGUCGCGCCAGCGGCAUCGCCGGGUAGCUACGUUCGGAACGGAUAACCGCUGAAAGCAUCUAAGCGGGAAGCCGACUCCAAGAUAAGAUAUCCCUGAAGACCCCUCGAAGACUACGAGGUUGAUAGGCCGGGUGUGGAAGCGCAGCAAUGUGUGAAGCUAACCGGUACUAAUUGGUCGUUCGGCUUGACCUU